Molecule: long non-coding RNA, 1715 nt
Organism: Salvelinus fontinalis (brook trout)
Lineage: Eukaryota; Metazoa; Chordata; Actinopteri; Salmoniformes; Salmonidae
Exons: 8
Source: RefSeq, a predicted model, not a curated record
UCAAAACAGAAAAUGUGUGUCAGUCUGUUUCUUGUGAAAACAGUGAACAACUUGUGAACAUUUCUGAAUUAUAAUAUAUGGAGUGGAGCCUAGUAGUUAGAGUGUUGGGUGGCAGGUAGCCUAGUGGUUAGAGCGUUGGGUGACAGGUAGCCUAGUGGUUAGAGCGUUGGGUGGCAGGUAGACUAGUGGUUAGAGCGUUGGGCGGCAGGUAGCCUAGUGGUUAGAGCGUUGGGCGGCAGGUAGCCUAGUGGUUAGAGCGUUGGGCGGCAGGUAGCCUAGUGGUUAGAGCGUUGGGCGGCAGGUAGCCUAGUGGUUAGAGCGUUGGGCGGCAGGUAGCCUAGUGGUUAGAGUGUUGGGCGGCAGGUAGCCUAGUGGUUAGAGUGUUGGGUGGCAGGUAGCCUAGUGGUUAGAGCGUUGGGUGGCAGGUAGCCUAGUGGUUAGAGCGUUGGGUGGCAGGUAGCCUAGUGGUUAGAGCGUUGGGCGGCAGGUAGCCUAGUGGUUAGAGUGUUGGGCGGCAGGUAGCCUAGUGGUUAGAGUGUUGGGCGGCAGGUAGCCUAGUGGUUAGAGUGUUGGGCGGCAGGUAGCCUAGUGGUUAGAGCGUUGGGUGGCAGGUAGCCUAGUGGUUAGAGUGUUGGGCGGCAGGUAGCCUAGUGGUUAGAGUGUUGGGCGGCAGGUAGCCUAGUGGUUAGAGUGUUGGGCGGCAGGUAGCCUAGUGGUUAGAGUGUUGGGUGGCAGGUAGCCUAGUGGUUAGAGCGUUGGGUGGCAGGUAGCCUAGUGGUUAGAGCGUUGGGUGGCAGGUAGCCUAGUGGUUAGAGCGUUGGGCGGCAGGUAGCCUAGUGGUUAGAGUGUUGGGCGGCAGGUAGCCUAGUGGUUAGAGUGUUGGGCGGCAGGUAGCCUAGUGGUUAGAGUGUUGGGUGGCAGGUAGCCUAGUGGUUAGAGUGUUGGGCGGCAGGUAGCCUAGUGGUUAGAGUGUUGGGCGGCAGGUAGCCUAGUGGUUAGAGUGUUGGGCGGCAGGUAGCCUAGUGGUUAGAGCGUUGGGCGGCAGGUAGCCUAGUGGUUAGAGCGUUGGGCGGCAGGUAGCCUAGUGGUUAGAGCGUUGGGCGGCAGGUAGCCUAGUGGUUAGAGCGUUGGGCGGCAGGUAGCCUAGUGGUUAGAGCGUUGGGCGGCAGGUAGCCUAGUGGUUAGAGUGUUGGGCGGCAGGUAGCCUAGUGGUUAGAGUGUUGGGCGGCAGGUAGCCUAGUGGUUAGAGUGUUGGGCGGCAGGGAGCCUAGUGGUUAGAGUGUUGGGUGGCAGGUAGCCUAGUGGUUAGAGCGUUGGGUGGCAGGUAGCCUAGUGGUUAGAGCGUUGGGUGCCAGGUAGCCUAGUGGUUAGAGCGUUGGUUGGCAGGUAGCCUAGUGGUUAGAGUGUUGGGUGGCAGGUAGCCUAGUGGUUAGAGCGUUGGGUGCCAGGUAGCCUAGUGGUUAGAGUGUUGGGCGGCAGGUAGCCUAGUGGUUAGAGUGUUGGGCGGCAGGUAGCCUAGUGGUUAGAGUGUUGGGCGGCAGGUAGCCUAGUGGUUAGAGCGUUGGGCGGCAGGUAGCCUAGUGGUUAGAGUGUUGGGUGGCAGGUAGCCUGGUGGUUAGAGUGUUGGGUGGCAGGUAGCCUAGUGGUUAGAGCGUUGGGUGGCAGGUAGCCUAGUGGUUAGAGCGUUGGGUGGCAGGUAGCCUAGUGGUUAGAGU